UACGUAGGGGGCGAGCGUUGUCCGGAUUUACUGGGCGUAAAGCGCGCGUAGGCGGAGAGUUAAGCGAGGUGUGAAAGCCCCCGGCUCAACCGGGGAAGGUCGCUUCGAACUGGCUGUCUUGAGGACGUGAGAGGAGUGUGGAAUUCCUGGUGUAGCGGUGAAAUGCGUAGAUAUCAGGAGGAACACCCGUGGCGAAGGCGGCACUCUGGUGCGUGCCUGACGCUGAGGCGCGAAAGCGUGGGGAGCGAACAGG
This 253-nucleotide ribosomal RNA is filed under the name uncultured bacterium. RNAcentral's name for it is "partial 16S ribosomal RNA". It matches the Rfam family "Bacterial small subunit ribosomal RNA", at positions 524 to 776 of the family's 1533-position model. The record is from RNAcentral.